RNAcentral lists this long non-coding RNA (754 nucleotides) under Androctonus crassicauda. The record is from RNAcentral. Lineage: Eukaryota; Metazoa; Arthropoda; Arachnida; Scorpiones; Buthidae.
GUUGGAUUUCCAGGAAAAAUGAUUGAUAAAUCAGUUAUUUUUUUUUUUUAUAAGUUAAAAGAAUUCUUACUACUUUAUCUGUAUAACACCUGAAUCCAUUCGCUGAUCUCAGCGUUUAGUUAUAAAACUCAUAAUUCUCCUGCACUCACAGGUUCGAAUUUUUGAUUCCGAAAUUUUCGUUACUACCUGUGCUAGAAAAAAAAACGAAAAAGAUUCUCGAAGCAAUCGAUUUUCUGACUUUUUUUUUCUCGUACCUGUAAUCACAAAAAGCACUCCGGUAAUUCCGGAAGCGUAUUUUAAGUCCGAACGGGAAAGGCCACCAUUCACUCCGAUGCGGAUGCCGACUCUAAUGAGAUUGGAUGGACACAACCAGUAAUGAAUCCAUCGCGUGAUGUCUGCCUCCCGUCCUUUCGGACAUCGAUUUUCGGGCGGAGCCUGUGCCAUGGUGAGGACUUUCUGUCUUUUACUCUUGCUGCCGAAUUCCCGCCCAUUCGUUGGCCCGACGCUGCUUAUCCCGUUUCACUCAACGAAAUCCUCACCGAAACCUUCUACUUUACACGUGGAAACCUGCCAUUAAGCAUUUUCUCGCCAGUACUAGAAUUGAAACUCCAGUUGAAACAGUUUAGGAAAAAGGGGAUCUCUGAUAUGUGUGCAUUUCGAAGAAUAUCUCGCAUAUAAAAUUCCACUGUUCACUUUUUUUUCGUCUCAUCUAAUACCCGACAACCGUUUCACAUUUACUACUGAUUUCUGCUCU